UGCAAUUUUUUAGAUGUGCGAAAACCCAUACCAAUCGUGCACCAUCGGAUUGGCCAAAGCAUAUAAUUAUCUUUUAAAACUACAAUUGUGUGCUUUAGCAUAAGAGCUCAUAGCUUGGACCGAAGAGGCUGAAUCAGCCCUUAGCAGGUCAAAGCGGAUGCUCCGGAGCUUCACUUUGGUCUAGACCAAAAAUCCAAAGACUUCGGCCGUUUUGGCCGAAGCGAAACAAAUCUGAUAGCAUUGAUUCCUAAAACAUGAUGGAGGAAAGAAUUAGAUUGCCGAGGUAUGUCCAGAGAGAGGUUAUAACAUGAUCCCAUAUGAGUAUAUUGGAUAUGUGCUCCCCAAAAUGGAUUUUCUUGAUAAAAAAAAUUUGUAUUCGCUUUUAGGAUCGCUGGAUGAGUAUUUGGAAAGGGGAAAGUAUUGAAUUAUGAGUCAAAAUCAUUUAUAUCUGACUGUCUAAAACUUUCUGGGCAUUUGUGAAAUCGUAAAAUAUUAUCCCUUUUUUUUAGCAAAUCUAUAGACCGUGUAGGACCUUUUCUGAGGUAUUAUCAGAGCCAUAAUAGAGUGAGAAGGUUAC
This 577-nucleotide long non-coding RNA is filed under the name Amborella trichopoda. RNAcentral's name for it is "long non-coding RNA (ATRI_LNC005493)". The record is from RNAcentral. Lineage: Eukaryota; Viridiplantae; Streptophyta; Magnoliopsida; Amborellales; Amborellaceae.